This is a small nuclear RNA of Peromyscus californicus insignis, 109 nucleotides long. The record is from RefSeq and is a predicted model, not a curated record. Lineage: Eukaryota; Metazoa; Chordata; Mammalia; Rodentia; Cricetidae.
GUGGGGACUUCAAUAAGAUCUACAUAGUCUAAAAUUAGAAUUAUACAGAGUAGAUGAGCAUGGCCGCUACGCAAGGAUGACACUCAUGUGUGAAGUCGUCCAUAUUUAA